CCCUUAGAUGUUCGGGGCCGCACGCGCGCUACACUGAAAGAAUCAGCGUGUGUCUACCCUGGUCCGGAAGGAUUGGGUAACCCGUUGAACCUCUUUCGUGCUAGGGAUUGGGGCUUGUAAUUAUUCCCCAUGAACGAGGAAUUCCUAGUAAACGCAAGUCAUCAGCUUGCAUUGAUUACGUCCCUGCCCUUUGUACACACCGCCCGUCGCACCUACCGAUUGGGUGAUCCGGUGAAUGACUCGGACUUUGACGUUCCUAGACACUAGGUUCGUCGAGGGAAGUUUUGUGAACCUUAUCACUUGGAGGAAGGAGAAGUCGUAACA
This 324-nucleotide ribosomal RNA is filed under the name uncultured eukaryote. RNAcentral's name for it is "partial 18S ribosomal RNA". It matches the Rfam family "Eukaryotic small subunit ribosomal RNA", at positions 1470 to 1796 of the family's 1831-position model. The record is from RNAcentral.